Molecule: small nucleolar RNA, 128 nt
Organism: Mus pahari (shrew mouse)
Lineage: Eukaryota; Metazoa; Chordata; Mammalia; Rodentia; Muridae
Product: small nucleolar RNA SNORA71
Exons: 1
Source: RefSeq, a predicted model, not a curated record
CCCUGUAUUCAAGAGUGACUGUGGGCUGCCAUGUCCCGGUCAUUGGUACUGCCUGGAGAGGAUGUUGAAGCUUUUCCAUGUGUUUGGAAGGUUGUGUCUGUCCUUGCCAAACUCUGGUGCUUCUAACA